RNAcentral lists this long non-coding RNA (5518 nucleotides) under Danio rerio (zebrafish). RNAcentral's name for it is "lncRNA (ENSDARG00000099099.3)". Lineage: Eukaryota; Metazoa; Chordata; Actinopteri; Cypriniformes; Danionidae. The record is from RNAcentral.
CUUUACUUUUAUUAAAGGUUUAAUCUAUCUAUCUAUCUAUCUAUCUAUCUAUCUAUCUAUCUAUCUAUCUAUCUAUCUAUCUAUCUAUCUAUCUAUUUCAUCCCUCCACUACUUUUUUCCACACAUGAACAGGACUUUUAUUAUGGUUAGGUUUGCUGAUAUGACGUCACAGAUUUGCGCCGUGUCUGUGUUUCGGCCAAGGGUUUGUGUUUUCGGAGCGUAUAAAUCAGUUAAAAACGCUCAGUAAUCGCCUGUUUAUCGUCGAUAAAUCCACCAGAAACACAAAUUCAGCGUCUGUAGGCAAAGAGGAGAGAAACCGAGCCUCCAGAAACUUCGAGUUAAUUCCUGCUUUGCAAACUCAACAAAACCACAGGUCAGAAGCCACGAAGCCGCUUUUAAACACACCGCAAACGUGGUGUGGAGAGUUUAAUCCAUCACAUGCAGUGUUCAAUCAUCCAAUAUUUGUAAUAUUGAGCAAUUAAGACUUGGAUUCAGAUCUAGUUUGCAUUUAUUCAUCAUUCUCCUCUUGAACACACAGAGAAGCUGCACACUUGUAAAGAUGGCGUUUAUUAAAGAGGAGUGUGAGGACAUCAGGAUUGCAGAUGUUUUCACGCUGGUAAAAGAAGAGCCUGAGGAUCCAAUAGACCUGAUGCCACUGAAAAGGGAGAUUCAAGAAUAUCUGAUUGAGAACCAUAACGACUUCAUACCUACAGAAAGUGAAUUCAUUUGCUCGCAGACUAUGAUGAGCUCACAAAAGGCUGCUCAAACAACAAAGACCGCACAUCCUCUCAAAUGCGACCAGUGCGGGAGAGGUUUUACUAAAAAGGGACACCUCAGAAACCACAUGAGGACUCACAAUGGAGAGAGCUCUUUCACCUGCCAACAGUGUGGAAAAGGUUUCACUCAAAAGUCAAACCUCAGAAACCACAUCAAAAUUCAUAUCGCGAAAAACGCUUUGACCUGCCAACAGUGUGGCAAAUCUUUCAGUAAUAAAGACUACCUUAAACGACACAUGAGAGUUCACACUAUAGAGACUUCUCACACGUGCCCUCAAUGCGGAAAGAGUUUUGCAGACGAAUCGAUAUGUAUCGCCCACAUGAGCAGUCACACUGGAGAAAAACCAUUUGUGUGUGAUCAGUGUGGGAAGAGCUACACAAGUCGGAGUAACCUUAAAUACCACAUGAAUGUUCAUGCAAAUGAGAACAGUUUUAUGUGCCAUCACUGCGGAGUGCGUUUCAGAAGAAGCGCUCAACUGAAGACUCAUGUAGAAACCCACAUCGAACUGGUGCCUUUAAUGUGUCGUCAGUGUGGAAAAACGUUCUCAACAAAAGAAAACCUCGAAGUUCACAUGAGAAACCACUCUAAGGAAAGACCUUACACCUGUCAACAGUGCGGGAAGCGUUUCAUCCGGAAUGCAAGUCUUAAAGAGCACAUGAUAAUUCACACUGGAGAGAAGCCACACAUCUGCCAACAUUGCGGGAAAAGCUUCUUUCGAAAAGCAUACCUUGAUAUCCACAUAAGGGUUCACACCGGAGAAAAACCGUACACCUGCCAAGAUUGUGGAAAGAGUUUCAUCCGGAAAGCACACCUUAAUACCCACGCGAAAGUUCACAGUGGGGAGAAACCUUACAGUUGUGAACUUUGCGGGAAGACCUCCUAUCGGAAAGAAGACAUUAAAAGGCACAUGAGAGUUCACACCGGAGAGAGGCCUUAUCGCUGCUCCAAGUGUGGAAAGGGCUUCACAUGUACAAGAAGCUUAAGGAGGCACACAAAAAUCCACCUACUGUAGAAAACAGGCAGAAGUCUAAUAAUCAUGGAUACCCUCAGCAGAGAGAGAACUCUUUCAUGGAACGCAAAGGAAAAGUGUCCCUCUAAACCAGGCAUGUCCAAACUCGGUCAUGGAGCACCGGUGUCCUGCAAAGUUUAGUUCCAACCCCAAUCAAACACACCUGGGCUAGCUAAUCAAGCUCUUACUAGGCUUUCUAAAAACACCCUUGCAGGUGUGUUGAGGCAAGUUGGAGCUAAAAUCUGCAGGACACUGGCCCUCCAGCACCAAGUUUGGACACCCCUGCUCUAAACAAAAGAAUCUCAUGCACCAAAGGAACCUGAAAAGCAUUCAUUCAAUCAUUUUUCUUCUUAUUAGUCCCUUAUUUAUUAGGGGUCGCCACAGCAGAAUGAAGCAUCAAUUAUUCAGGCAUCUGUUUUACACAGUGGAUGCCCUGCCGGCCGCAACCCAGUUCUGGGAAACACCCAUACACUCUCAGAUUUCCCAACACAUUCAUACACUAUGGCCUACGACUGUCGGGGAAAUCGGAGCACUCGAAGGAAACCCAUGACAACAAUGGAAGAACAUACAUACUCCACACAGGAAUGACUCAAACCAGCGACCUUCCUGCUGUGAGGCACUGAACCACCGUGCAACCCACAUCAAAACAUUAUAGAAGUUUAAACAAUUUCAGAAAUAUACUGCUGAUCUACCCUCUUCAUCAGUGUAUCACUCCGCCCGCAGAGAGUACCACACAGAAGACUAGAGUCACUAUAGAUUGACAAUUACCGCCGCUGUUAGACCACAAUGUAUAUUUGAUACUUUUUAGGCGGUAAUGUAGUUGCUUAGACUGUAAAUAUGCCGUUUAUUUACAGGUACAGCGUCUAUUAUAAAAUGUGUUUAGAAGAUUUUGGAAGUGGGACUUCUAGCAUGCCGGUGUCCUACCUUGUCAGAUUAUCCUACCUCCCAUUCAAAAGGUAGGUAGCACAUUUUGAUGAUGCAAUAUGCUACCCAUCUGAUUUUGCCACCAGUGUAGAUUUAAUGUGGAGUAGUGUGAUAUGAAGCUAUAAUGUCACCCUGACCCCCCAACCUCACAGCCAUUCAAAUACAGUGUUGGGCGCAUGAUCUGAUGGGUGGGAUACAACGUCAGGACACCGCAGACACUUAUUGAAGAUUUGGAUGUGUGUCUGUACAGUAGUCUGUUGUGUAGUGUAAUGUGUUUAGGCUAUAUCUAAAGGCAGUGUUUGGUCACUUAUCUGUUAUUUACUCUAGAGCAAAUAGAUUUCACUGCAAUGUUAAGUUUAACAGCUUACACUUGAAAACUUGGUCGUUGCUCUGUAGACUGAUUUACGUAGCAUCUUUAAAUUAUUGUGUUAGUGUUAUUGUGCAUUUAGUGACAUUUGAUAUGAACUGCAGUGAUAUUUAAUAAUAAAAAUGCUUUGUAUUACAAACUGCAGCAUUGAGUGUGAUUGGCAGGAGGAAUGUGAAGGGAGCAAACUAUUUCCUCAGGACAUUUUAAACUACAGCUGAAACAGGGUUGGACUAAAAUAAAUUGAAGUUUACUGGAAAAUAAAUACUAAAUAACACAAAUUUAAGUGUUUAAAAAUAGACAACAAAAUACAGCAGCCAUGUGUAACAUGUAUUACAUGUCUGAAAAGCUCCAGAAGUGUAUAUUUCUGUUGCACUAUAUAUAUAUAUAUAUAUAUAUAUAUAUAUAUAUAUAUAUAUAUAUAUAUAUAUAUUAUUUAAAAACUGACAUGCAUUAACAGAAUUGUUUUCUUAGGCUGUUCUAAAACACAUAAAAAACCAUUCAUGUUCACAAAUAUUGAAGACGCACCCUACUGUCAGGAGAAUCUCAUGAAUAUUCAUGUCAGCGCCACUAAUAUUUCAGGAUAUACCUGUAGAUCACACAGGCGUGUUUUAGUGAAGUGAAAGAGUGAAAGAGCUCAGAUUGUGUUCCUGCUGCACAAGAGCGUCUGUACUUCUGCAAGUAAGUUUAAUAUUUCUACUUUUACGCUGAUUUGUGGAGAUGAUGAAGGGGUUUUAUAUGUGUGAGUGUGAUUUAAAUGUCUGAUCCUGAAGAUCAAAUCCUCAAACUUUGAUUAAACAAACUUUUGAUUUUUGUCAAAACAGUCAUUUAAACUUAAACUUAAAACUUUAAUUUUAAUUCCUUGAAAAUGUUUGUACUCUUCUAUAUCAGGGUGACUUGAUCAUUUCAGAUCAUUCAGCACAAAACUAAAUUUUAAACAUUAGGAGUUUCGAACUCGAAAGUAAAGUUAAACCAGAUGUUCCAGUUGAACAGGAAGAAACUGCUGAAAAACAACAAGCUGCUGUUUCUUAUACAAUCUGCAUUUAACCCUUAACUGCCAGCUUGACGCGCUUUUAGUACUAACUAAAUAAAUACAUAAAAAGUUAUGACAAAAUAUUUAAUCUUAUUUUAUUGGUCUGCUUUGAGUAUUCUUAAAGAGAUCUCUCAGAUUUAAUCUCAAAUACCCGUUUUACCUUCCUCAAAUAUUCUAUUAACACACUUGUGCUCAGAGAAACAGUAUGAAUAUUUUCAGCUGCAGUGGUUUGGGUGUUGUUUUGAUGACUCGUCCACAGUUAUUAAUAUUUCAGGAUAUACCUGCAGUAGUGUUGUCAAAAAUAUAGGUAUUUCAAAAUGCAUCGAUACUGGAUUAUCUAAAACAAUACAGUUUUGCUUUUGGUUGGUAUUGAUAGCGGCUUUGGUCUCUUGAGGGUUGAUACACACUGCACAUGAGCACAGUCUAUCAGUCCUACAAUGUAAUCUGAUGAAUGGCUGAAGGGUAAAUGCCUGUAAGCCUUUUCUAGUGCUUCUGGAAUCUUUGUUUUAAGUGACAAUUGAAUUUAGACUAUUUCUGAUUAUAAACAGGUCACAUUUGUCGUGUAUGAAUUAAUUUAGAGUUUUGAUUUAUAUCUGCUCCUAUACUCUUCAAUUAUACAUUUAAAUUAGAAUCAAACGCCACUUAGAGUUUCAUGUCCCGGGUUUACGUGUUUGUCACAGACUUGAUCUCAAUGUUCUGAAGUUAGUCAGAGGAUGCAGAGGUAACUAAUACCUCACAAGUUGGUUGCCUUCUGCUCACUUGUACUAAAAGUGUAGUUCAUUUAGUUUUUUUCCACACAACUUGCUACUCUUAGUGAUUAAACAGAAAUAAUAAGGUCUUCACGCUGCUGUGCCUCUUGCUCCAUACAGUCAUAUGAGCUUAAAAACCUAUUAAAUCAUGUAAAGUAACAAAUUACAAAUACUCAAAAUACUGUAAUUGAGUAUUUUCCUCAAAAUAUUGUAAUUUAUUAAGUUGUUUUAUAAAUGUGUAUUGUACUUUACCUUGAGUACAUGUUUAUUGCAGUAUCGGUACUUUUACUCCACUACUGUCAUCUAACCUGCAGUCACUACAUUAUUUUCUUUUGUCUAUGGGGAUUAGAGAAGUCAGUCCUGUGAUUCCUGACCAGUCAAAUCACACAUAGAAGGUGAAUCAGAUCAUAAUGAACUACCUCAAGACAUGGAGAUUUAUAAUUGCAAAAAACUGUUUGGAAGCAUUAAUCAUGUCCAAGAAGAUGUCCAAUAUCUUUACAAGCAUUGACCCACUGUUUAGAUGCAGGUCACUGAUAAGAAAAUGACGGAUGUUUACUGUAUGAUGAAACUGGCCUUAAACACCCAGCAGGCACCCCAGGUGAAAAAAAAUAUAUAAUUAAAUGCAAAUAAAAUACACUUAAAAACCCACAAAUACAUUUUUA